RNAcentral lists this ribosomal RNA (468 nucleotides) under uncultured bacterium. RNAcentral's name for it is "partial 16S ribosomal RNA". It matches the Rfam family "Bacterial small subunit ribosomal RNA", at positions 28 to 507 of the family's 1533-position model. The record is from RNAcentral.
GACGAACGCUGGCGGCGUGCUUAACACAUGCAAGUCGAACGGAAAGGCCCUGCUUUUGUGGGGUGCUCGAGUGGCGAACGGGUGAGUAACACGUGAGUAACCUGCCCUUGACUUUGGGAUAACUUCAGGAAAAAGGGGCUAUAAUCGGAUAGGAGCACCUGAUACAUGGUGGGGGUUGGUAAGAUUCGGCGGUUGGGGAUGGACACGCGGUUUAUCAGCUUGUUGGUGGGGUAGUGGCUUACAAAGGCUUUGACGGGUAGCCGGCCUGGGAGGGUGACCGGCCACAUUGGGACUGGGAUACGGCCCAGACUCCUACUUGAGGCAUCAGUGGGGAAUAUUGCACAAUGGGCGGAAGCCUUAUGCAGCAACGCCGCGUGCGGGAUGACUGCCUUCGGGGUGUAAACCGCUUGCGCCUGUAACGAAGCGUGAGUGACGGUAAUUGGUAAAGAAGCACCGGCUAACUACGUG